RNAcentral lists this ribosomal RNA (674 nucleotides) under uncultured Vibrionaceae bacterium. RNAcentral describes it as "bacterial SSU rRNA". It matches the Rfam family "Bacterial small subunit ribosomal RNA", at positions 8 to 671 of the family's 1533-position model. The record is from RNAcentral. Lineage: Bacteria; Pseudomonadati; Pseudomonadota; Gammaproteobacteria; Vibrionales; Vibrionaceae.
AGAGUUUGAUCAUGGCUCAGAUUGAACGCUGGCGGCAGGCCUAACACAUGCAAGUCGAGCGGUAACAGGAAUUAGCUUGCUAAUUCGCUGACGAGCGGCGGACGGGUGAGUAAUGCCUGGGAAUAUGCCUUAGUGUGGGGGAUAACUAUUGGAAACGAUAGCUAACACCGCAUAAUGUCUUCGGACCAAAGAGGGGGACCUUCGGGCCUCUCGCGCUAAGAUUAGCCCAGGUGAGAUUAGCUUGUUGGUGAGGUAAGAGCUCACCAAGGCGACGAUCUCUAGCUGGUCUGAGAGGAUGAUCAGCCACACUGGAACUGAGACACGGUCCAGACUCCUACGGGAGGCAGCAGUGGGGAAUAUUGCACAAUGGGCGCAAGCCUGAUGCAGCCAUGCCGCGUGUAUGAAGAAGGCCUUCGGGUUGUAAAGUACUUUCAGUGGGGAGGAAGGUGUUGUCGUUAAUAGCGGCAGCAUUUGACGUUACCCACAGAAGAAGCGCCGGCUAACUCCGUGCCAGCAGCCGCGGUAAUACGGAGGGUGCGAGCGUUAAUCGGAAUUACUGGGCGUAAAGCGCAUGCAGGUGGUUCAUUAAGUCAGAUGUGAAAGCCCGGGGCUCAACCUCGGAACCGCAUUUGAAACUGGUGAACUAGAGUGCUGUAGAGGGGGGUAGAAUUUCA